AAGGGAGACCUAAUUCAGGUAUAAGACGAAAAAAAAGUAGUCCCUACCAAGAAUCAAUCCCAAAAGGUCGGAACGAGGUAUGAGGCUUUCAAACUAGGUUCUGGGUUCAUAAAAGACUUGAAUCAGGAACAAGGGCUAUUAGCUCAGGUGGUUAGAGCGCACCCCUGAUAAGGGUGAGGUCCCUGGUUCGAGUCCAGGAUGGCCCACCUGCACAGGUGGCAAAAACAAGAGAAGCUCCGAAUCAGCACCUUAUCUUAUAUACAUAUAUAAGAGAGAAUGCUGGCUCUGAGUAAAGAGUCCAGAGGAACCUUGAAAACUGCAUAGAGCUAGGUGAAAAAGCCAAAAAAGAAGACCGCAA
RNAcentral lists this transfer RNA (358 nucleotides) under uncultured Microcystis sp. RNAcentral describes it as "partial 16S-23S ribosomal RNA intergenic spacer". The stretch from base 133 to 206 matches the Rfam family "tRNA". The record is from RNAcentral. Lineage: Bacteria; Bacillati; Cyanobacteriota; Cyanophyceae; Chroococcales; Microcystaceae.